GAUGGCAUAGCUCAGGGGCAGAGCGUGUGCUUAGCAUGCACGAUUUCCUGGGUUCAAUCCCCAGUCCCUCCA
This 72-nucleotide transfer RNA is filed under the name Camelus dromedarius (Arabian camel). It matches the Rfam family "tRNA". Rfam says of the family: Transfer RNA (tRNA) molecules are approximately 80 nucleotides in length. Their secondary structure includes four short double-helical elements and three loops (D, anti-codon, and T loops). Further hydrogen bonds mediate the characteristic L-shaped molecular structure. tRNAs have two regions of fundamental functional importance: the anti-codon, which is responsible for specific mRNA codon recognition, and the 3' end, to which the tRNAs corresponding amino acid is attached (by aminoacyl-tRNA synthetases). tRNAs cope with the degeneracy of the genetic code in two manners: having more than one tRNA (with a specific anti-codon) for a particular amino acid; and 'wobble' base-pairing, i.e. permitting non-standard base-pairing at the 3rd anti-codon position. The record is from Rfam by way of RNAcentral. Lineage: Eukaryota; Metazoa; Chordata; Mammalia; Artiodactyla; Camelidae. RNAcentral also lists the same sequence under 1 other name.